This 445-nucleotide ribosomal RNA is filed under the name uncultured bacterium. RNAcentral's name for it is "partial 16S ribosomal RNA". It matches the Rfam family "Bacterial small subunit ribosomal RNA", at positions 354 to 796 of the family's 1533-position model. The record is from RNAcentral.
GUGAGGAAUAUUGGUCAAUGGGCGAGAGCCUGAACCAGCCAAGUCGCGUGAAGGAAGAAGGAUCUAUGGUUCGUACACUUCUUUUGCAGGGGAAUAAAGUGCGGGAGGUGUCCUGUUUUGUAUGUACCCUGAGAAUAAGGAUCGGCUAACUCCGUGCCAGCAGUCGCGGUAAUACGGAGGAUCCGAGCGUUAUCCGGAUUUAUUGGGUUUAAAGGGUGCGUAGGUGGUUUGAUAAGUCAGCGGUGAAAGUUUGCAGCUUAACUGUAAAAAUGCCGUUGAAACUGUCGGAGUUGAGUGUAAAUGAGGUAGGCGGAAUGCGUGGUGUAGCGGUGAAAUGCAUAGAUAUCACGCAGAACUCCGAUUGCGGAGGCAGCUUACUAAGCUACAACUGACACUGAAGCACGAAAGCGUGGGGAUCAAACAGGAUUAGAAACCCUGGUAGUCC